AUACAUCGCUGGCGACCGGCAAACGGGUGCGGAACACGUACGCAAUCUACCCAUAACUGAUGAAUAGCCCACCGAAAGGUGGAUUAAUACAUCGUAACAUAAUGAAGAGGCAUCUCUUUAUUAUUAUAGCUCCGGCGGUUAUGGAUGAGCGUGCGGCUGAUUAGGUAGUUGGCGGGGUAACGGCCCACCAAGCCUACGAUCAGUAACUGGUGUGAGAGCACGACCAGUCACACGGGCACUGAGACACGGGCCCGACUCCUACGGGAGGCAGCAGUAAGGAAUAUUGGUCAAUGGACGCAAGUCUGAACCAGCCAUGCCGCGUGAAGGAUGAAGGUCCUCUGGAUUGUAAACUUCUUUUGUGUGGGAAGAAAUCCUUGAAUUCUUUCAAGGUUGACGGUACCACAAGAAUAAGCACCGGCUAACUCCGUGCCAGCAGCCGCGGUAAUACGGAGGGUGCAAGCGUUAUCCG
This 469-nucleotide ribosomal RNA is filed under the name uncultured Bacteroidota bacterium. Its description in RNAcentral is "bacterial SSU rRNA". It matches the Rfam family "Bacterial small subunit ribosomal RNA", at positions 80 to 547 of the family's 1533-position model. The record is from RNAcentral. Lineage: Bacteria; Pseudomonadati; Bacteroidota.